This 661-nucleotide ribosomal RNA is filed under the name Streptomyces salmonis. RNAcentral describes it as "bacterial LSU rRNA". It matches the Rfam family "Bacterial large subunit ribosomal RNA", at positions 1346 to 1894 of the family's 2925-position model. The record is from RNAcentral. Lineage: Bacteria; Bacillati; Actinomycetota; Actinomycetes; Kitasatosporales; Streptomycetaceae.
UAAGGGUUCCUGGGUCAAGCUGAUCUGCCCAGGGUAAGUCGGGACCUAAGGCGAGGCCGACAGGCGUAGUCGAUGGACAACCGGUUGAUAUUCCGGUACCCGCUUUGAAACGCCCAAUAUCGAAUCAGGCGAUGCUAAGUCCGUGAAGCCGUCCUGGAUCCUUCGGGUGAAGGGGAGUGGUGGAGCCGACGACCCGGACUUGUAGUAGGUAAGCGAUGGGGUGACGCAGGAAGGUAGUCCAGCCCGGGCGGUGGUAGUCCCGGGGUAAGGGUGUAGGCCGUGUGAUAGGCAAAUCCGUCACACGUUAAGGCUGAGACCUGAUGCCGAGCCGAUUGUGGUGAAGUGGAUGAUCCUAUGCUGUCGAGAAAAGCCUCUAGCGAGUUUCAUGGCGGCCCGUACCCUAAACCGACUCAGGUGGUCAGGUAGAGAAUACCGAGGCGUUCGGGUGAACUAUGGUUAAGGAACUCGGCAAAAUGCCCCCGUAACUUCGGGAGAAGGGGGGCCAUUUCCGGUGAUGAGUCUUGCACUCUGAGCUGGGGGUGGCCGCAGAGACCAGCGAGAAGCGACUGUUUACUAAAAACACAGGUCCGUGCGAAGCCGUAAGGCGAUGUAUACGGACUGACGCCUGCCCGGUGCUGGAACGUUAAGGGGACCGGUUAGC